AUGUGGGCGCCGAAACUUGAGACCAUCAGGAUCAGGGGAUGUUGGAGUCUCAGGCGUCUACCGGGGGUUGGACGUGAUACCAAGCCACCCAAGGUGGACUGCGAGAAGGAAUGGUGGGACAACCUUGAGUGGGAUGGGUUGAGGAUGUACCACCACCCUUCCCGCUACGAGCCGAACCACUCACUGUACUACAAGAAGGCUCAGCUGCCCAGAGGCACUGUACUCAGGUGA
RNAcentral lists this ribosomal RNA (231 nucleotides) under Triticum aestivum (bread wheat). RNAcentral describes it as "partial small subunit ribosomal RNA". Lineage: Eukaryota; Viridiplantae; Streptophyta; Magnoliopsida; Poales; Poaceae. The record is from RNAcentral.